ACGGCGACGGCGACACCGAAAGCAAGAUCGUAGAACGAGGAAAGAGAACGAAACACAACGAAUGCCCAGCUGUUUAUUCUGAACGGAGCGGAGCCGAUUCCGUCGUAGUAAUAACUUGUUUGGUGGGCAGCAGCACGCACCACAGUCAGUCCCCGUGUCCAGUCCCAGUGUUUUUCAGAGUCUAUGGAAACCCGCAGUCGGGUUACAAACAGCCCCAGAACCCCCAGAAAGCGAAAUCUAAUCAGUUCUAGAGGUCCCGGUCUCUCUCGGCCAGAUAGUGCGUGCAAUCCGCAGUAAAUACCAUACCCAACGGACAAGUGGUUGAUCCAGUGCCAAUUCGGGGGCAAAACGCUCGAAAGAUAUUAUCAAGCCAACGGCUGGUCCAAAUAUGUAGUGUUUGCCGUUGUGUUUCCUUCCCUGUUGUUCGGUCGUACCGUUGCAGUUGUUGGGACAACUAAGACAAACCAGAAACGGAAUCGAUUCCAAGUGCAGUGCAGUGUAAGACGACGAGCAAGAAGAAGCAGAAGAGGCAAUGCCAGUGGCAGUGGCAGUGGCAGAGUGGAGAAGGGAGAAGGAUUGAAGAGUGUAUUCCAUAUGGAAAACCAGCUCCAGCUGCAGUUACAGCUCCACUGUUUUUUUGUAAAUUGGGGCACGACUGGCCCCAACGAUCGAGCUGACAAAAGAGAAUAGCGACAAAACAAAGAAGCAGGCGAACAAAGAACACAAGCCAAGAAAAACAGAGAACACAGUGUCGGUCAGAGAGGAGAGAGGAGAGCGACAAGAGUUCUUUCUUAUAGAGAUACUCGUGCAAGUGUGUGGCUGCAAGAUACAGAUCCAGAUACAGUCACAGAGACAGAUCCCGCGGAGCAGUCCCAGCAUCCACAUCGUUAAGAGAGGCAGAGAGCGACAGGAAAACCCCCCAAAAAAGCUCAAUACGAAUGGUGUGCACACAGCGUAAAUACGAGAAAAUUGUUAAUUAAGACGCCAAAUGUUUGGCAGUCGUCGAAAGUGCAGAGGAGAGUGGCGGGAGGCAAAGUAAACCACAGAGAUAGAACGCGCACUGUGUGUGAGAGAGAGAGAGAGAGAGAGAGAGAGAGAGAGAGAAGUGCGGGUGCAAUUACCUUGCGUGUGUGUGAGUGUGUUGUGUUCCGUUUCCAUUUCGUUCACCUGAACAGCUGUCUUCGCUCACGAUCUCUCUCCGCUCACCCGCAUCUCCAAGCCGUUAUCAGUCAACUGAACUGCCUGCACCAGCUCAGUUUUCUGCAACUAAUUGGACAAGUGAGUAAUUGGACAGGAGAGAAGCAGACAAAAAGGGAGAGGAACGGUGAAGACAACCAACCUUCGCCGCGACGCGUCCCACACAUAUAAAUAGGAGAAACAGACCAACCAGACGACAGAUUGCCGUCCUCUAAGCCACGGGCAGAAGUCGCAGCUGAGCCCAGCAUGCGGAGGCUCUGAGAGCUGAAACCCAGAUUAGUUGGUGAAAAAUUCUGUAAACGAUCGCAUGGUUAAUAAUCUUAGCUCCACGGAAAUGAGUUUGAUUUCCAUCAAUGGAGGAAAACUUAACUUAACACUCGCGAACUUGUUGUACAAUCGUUGUAUACUUAUGUGUUCGAUGAACUCUUGGAUUCUUGGAUUAAGCUAUUAACAAUAUGUAAACAAAGUAUGAUAAGUGGGUUUAUUGUUAAAUGAAAAUUAAUUAUUCCUAAACAGACGGUGGCAUAAGUAUUUUGACAUUUUACAAAAUGUAAAAAAAAACAAAAACGAAUGGAACGAACUAACUUUUUAUGAUGAAUCAGCAAAAUAUAUAUCCUCCCUUUGCCUCUAUCACCUUUUGCAGACGUCUCGGAACUGACUCCACUAAGCUGUGGAUAUAAGCCAGCAGAAU
Molecule: long non-coding RNA, 1888 nt
Organism: Drosophila miranda
Lineage: Eukaryota; Metazoa; Arthropoda; Insecta; Diptera; Drosophilidae
Exons: 2
Source: RefSeq, a predicted model, not a curated record